Molecule: ribosomal RNA, 216 nt
Filed under: Glomeromycotina sp.
Lineage: Eukaryota; Fungi; Glomeromycota
Description: partial small subunit ribosomal RNA
Rfam family: Eukaryotic small subunit ribosomal RNA (bases 40-216)
Source: RNAcentral
GGGUCAGUAGGUUGGUCGUGCCACUGGUACGUACUGGUCUCACUGAUUCCUCCUUCCUGAAGAACCGUAAUGCCAUUAAUUUGGUGUUGCGGGGAAACAGGACUGUUACUUUGAAAAAAUUAGAGUGUUUAAAGCAAGCUAACGCUUGAAUACAUUAGCAUGGAAUAAUGAAAUAGGACGAUCGAUCCUAUUUUGUUGGCUUCUAGGAUUGACGUA